AGUCUACAUAUGGUGAAUAAAUGUGAUUAUGCUAGAUUUAAACUAUGGGUUCAAAGAGAUCUAAUGCUCUAAUUAAAGUAGAUCCCAAUAUAACAAAUUUCUUCAAACUUGAGCUAGAGGGAAGCUAUAUCCUCCAAGAGGGCUCUUAUUAUAUAGAUCACCAAGAACACCCUGAUUAGAAGAAGAUAGAUGCAAAGAACUCAGCAAGAUAAGCUAACUUUCAUGUUCUCAAGUAUUUCACACUUCUAAUGGGCUAG
This 257-nucleotide long non-coding RNA is filed under the name Elaeis guineensis (African oil palm). Its description in RNAcentral is "long non-coding RNA (EGUI_LNC019890)". Lineage: Eukaryota; Viridiplantae; Streptophyta; Magnoliopsida; Arecales; Arecaceae. The record is from RNAcentral.